Long non-coding RNA from Olea europaea var. sylvestris, 332 nucleotides. RefSeq lists it as uncharacterized. NCBI's taxonomy places the organism in Eukaryota, Viridiplantae, Streptophyta, Magnoliopsida, Lamiales, Oleaceae. The transcript has 3 exons. The record is from RefSeq and is a predicted model, not a curated record.
UUAUUUUCAUUCACUGAAAUGUGCUCUAUUUAGGAUCCUGAUAUCCGUUCUUUAGUUGAGCAAGAUUCUAAGAGUCUCCAACGGCUGCUCCCAGAGAUACCCCUUUGGAUAAAAAAUCCAGAUUAUGAUCGGAUUGAUUGGCUGAACAAAUUCAUUGAACUUAUGUGGCCAUAUUUGGAUAAGGCAAUUUGCAAGAUGGCAAAGAAAAUAGCAGAGCCAAUCAUAGCUGAGCAAAUUCCAAAAUACAAAAUUGACUCGGUGGAAUUUGAAACACUAACUUUGGGCUGUCUACCGCCUACUUUUCAAGGUUUAGCAGCUCAUUCUCGACCCUA